UGAGGAAUAUUGCGCAAUGGGGGCAACCCUGACGCAGCGACGCCGCGUGAGUGAGGAAGGCCUUCGGGUCGUAAAGCUCUGUCAAAGGGGAAGAAAUGCAUGGUGGUUAAUACCUGCUGUGUUUGACGGUACCCUUAACGGAAGCACCGGCUAACUCCGUGCCAGCAGCCGCGGUCAUACGGAGGGUGCAAGCGUUGUUCGGAAUUACUGGGCGUAAAGGGCGCGUAGGCGGUUUGAUAAGUCAGAUGUGAAAGCCCACGGCUUAACUGUGGAAGUGCAUUUGAAACUGUCAGACUUGAGUACCAGAGGGGAAAGUGGAAUUCCUGGUGUAGAGGUGAAAUUCGUAGAUAUCGGGAGGAAGACCGGUGGCGAAGGCGACUUGCUGGCCGGAUACUGACGCUGAGGCGCGAAAGCGUGGGGAGCAAACA
This 428-nucleotide ribosomal RNA is filed under the name uncultured prokaryote. Its description in RNAcentral is "bacterial SSU rRNA". It matches the Rfam family "Bacterial small subunit ribosomal RNA", at positions 355 to 774 of the family's 1533-position model. The record is from RNAcentral.